AGGACGAACGCUGGCGGCGUGCUUAACACAUGCAAGUCGAGCGGAAAGGCCCUUCGGGGUACUCGAGCGGCGAACGGGUGAGUAACACGUGAGCAACCUGCCCUUGGCUCCGGGAUAGCUCCGGGAAACCGGAAUUAAUACCGGAUAUGACCUAGGCCGACAUCGGCUGUGGUGGAAAGUUUUUCGGCUGGGGAUGGACUCGCGGCCUAUCAGCUUGUUGGUGGGGUAAUGGCCUACCAAGGCGACGACGGGUAGCCGGCCUGAGAGGGCGGCCGGCCACACUGGGACUGAGACACGGCCCAGACUCCUACGGGAGGCAGCAGUGGGAAUCUUGCGCAAUGGGCGAAAGCCUGACGCAGCGACGCCGCGUGGGGGAUGAAGGCCUUCGGGUUGUAAACCCCUUUCAGCAGGGACGAAGCGAAAGUGACGGUACCUGCAGAAGAAGCGCCGGCUAACUACGCGCCAGCAGCCGC
This 473-nucleotide ribosomal RNA is filed under the name uncultured bacterium. Its description in RNAcentral is "SSU rRNA". It matches the Rfam family "Bacterial small subunit ribosomal RNA", at positions 26 to 518 of the family's 1533-position model. The record is from RNAcentral.